RNAcentral lists this ribosomal RNA (1038 nucleotides) under Triticum aestivum (bread wheat). RNAcentral's name for it is "partial small subunit ribosomal RNA". Lineage: Eukaryota; Viridiplantae; Streptophyta; Magnoliopsida; Poales; Poaceae. The record is from RNAcentral.
AUGUCACUCGUGGGUUGCAACAAGGCCAACAAUAUCCCCAACAACAAAUGUUUUCCUUCCCUAACGCAUGCAGAAAGCCAAGGACAGGAAGCCGUGGAUGGGUUGCAACAAGGCUUCCACCAGUCCCUCCGUCAACAUCAAUCAUUCGUGCUGCAAAAGUGGUUGCGACGGGAAGACCAGGCCAAAGAGACAGAAAUUUUGGCCGCUCUAGCAGAUGCAUUGCUGCAUGUGCCAAGGGUGACACCACCCGCGCCCAUACACCAGGGUGAACAGCAAACACCGGAGGCAGCACAGAGCUAUACACAUCCACCAAACAUUGAAGCUUAUGUUUUGCCAAGGCUAGAGAUGCGCUUUGAAAUUUUUGAAGAAGAAAAGAACUUCUACAACCUCUAUGCGAAGCACGCGGGUUUUGCUAUCAGGGAAGGCUCCAAGUUUAAGACCAGAGCCUACCUUUAUUGCACAUGCUAUGGAGUCUAUCAUUCGAAGGUGUCUGAAGCAAAUAGACAGCGGAACAAAACGACAGCCAGGACUAACUGCGGGGCUAAAAUGAGGCUAAAGAUUGAAAAGGAUGGAACACUUGUCAUAAAAGAGAUAGUCUGGGAACACAACCACAGGCUACAGCUCACUCUGCAAAUGCUUGUCUUCUUGCACUCCCACAAAAACUUUGACAAAACAAUCUUGGAGUAUGUCAAGUACCUGCAGUUCAAAGGCAUUGAACACACGCAAAUCAUGAGCAUACUAGGCGGUGAUGACCCUGGUAGCUACUUCCUAGAAAUGAAUGCCAAAGACCUGAUUAACCUGAAAGCAAAAAAUUCAAGGAUGGAUGAUGUGGACGAUGUCCUAAAGACUACUACAUUCUUUGGUUUCGCCAUGAUAAGAGAUGAGGAUGCAGAAUCAUUCAGAUGGAUGUUCAAGACAUUUUUAAGGUGCAUGAGAGGGAAGGCUCCUAUAUGCAUCCUCACAGGUACAACCGCGAAAAACCACCCCCAACCACCACCACCACCACCCCCUUCCCCCAAAAAACUAAAAGGAAAAUAA